CUACGGCUGCAGCAGUGAGGAAUAUUGCACAAUGGGGGAAACCCUGAUGCAGCAACGCCGCGUGGAGGAUGACGCAUUUCGGUGUGUAAACUCCUUUUAUCAGAGAAGAAAAUGACGGUAUCUGAUGAAUAAGCUCCGGCUAACUCCGUGCCAGCAGCCGCGGUAAUACGGAGGGAGCAAGCGUUAUUCGGAAUCACUGGGCGUAAAGGACGCGUAGGCGGGUUUUUAAGUCAGGUGUGAAAUCCUAUGGCUCAACCAUAGAACUGCACUUGAAACUGGGGACCUAGAGUAUGGAAGGGGCAGGCGGAAUUAGUGGUGUAGGGGUAAAAUCCGUAGAUAUCACUAGGAAUACCGAAAGCGAAGGCGACCUGCUGGGACAUUACUGACGCUGAGGCGUGAAAGCGUGGGGAGCAAACAGGAUUAGAUACCCGUGUAGUC
RNAcentral lists this ribosomal RNA (438 nucleotides) under uncultured bacterium. RNAcentral's name for it is "partial 16S ribosomal RNA". It matches the Rfam family "Bacterial small subunit ribosomal RNA", at positions 339 to 795 of the family's 1533-position model. The record is from RNAcentral.